GGUACUUCUCAGUCUGUGGCACUCAGCCUUGAGGGCACUUUCUGGUGUCAGAAUGAAAGUGCUGUCAUAGCUGAGGUCCAAUGACUGAGGCGAGCACC
Molecule: microRNA precursor, 98 nt
Organism: Pan paniscus (pygmy chimpanzee)
Lineage: Eukaryota; Metazoa; Chordata; Mammalia; Primates; Hominidae
Source: Ensembl